AACGAACGCUGGCGGCGCGCCUAAUACAUGCAAGUCGAGCGAGAAGGUGUAGCAAUACACUUGUAAAGCGGCGAACGGGUGAGGAAUGCAUGGGUAACCUACCCUCGAGUGGGGAAUAACUAGCCGAAAGGUUAGCUAAUACCGCAUACGUUUCCGGAACUUCGGUUUCGGAAAGAAAGCAAUACCGUGGGUAUUGCGCUCCUGGAUGGGCUCAUGUCCUAUCAGCUUGUUGGUGAGGUAACGGCUCACCAAGGCUUCGACGGGUAGCUGGUCUGAGAGGACGAUCAGCCACACUGGCACUGCGACACGGGCCAGACACCUACGGGAGCAGCAGUAAGGAAUAUUGCGCAAUGGACGAAAGUCUGACGCAGCGACGCCGCGUGGGGGGAUGAAGGUCUUCGGAUUGUAAACCCCUUUCGGGAGGGAAGAUGGAGUGGGUAACCACUUGGACGGUACCUCCAGAAGCAGCCACGGCUAACUUCGUGCCAGCAGCCGCGGUAAU
Molecule: ribosomal RNA, 502 nt
Filed under: uncultured bacterium
Lineage: Bacteria
Description: bacterial SSU rRNA
Rfam family: Bacterial small subunit ribosomal RNA
Source: RNAcentral